Molecule: small nucleolar RNA, 125 nt
Organism: Nycticebus coucang (slow loris)
Lineage: Eukaryota; Metazoa; Chordata; Mammalia; Primates; Lorisidae
Product: small nucleolar RNA SNORA56
Exons: 1
Source: RefSeq, a predicted model, not a curated record
CAGAAGGCAGUUAACCCUUUCUAAUCUGACUCUUGGGACUCUAGAGGAACUCAGUCUGCCACAGUAAGUGGUAAGUUCUUCUGUCCAGUGUUAGUAUUUUGAUGGUUUCCAGAUAUCAGUGCACA